GAUGAACGCUGGCGGCGUGCCUAAUACAUGCGAGUCGAGCGAGCGGACGAGAAGCUUGCUUCUCUGAUGUUAGCGGCGGACGGGUGAGUAACACGUGGAUAACCUACCUAUAAGACUGGGAUAACUUCGGGAAACCGGAGCUAAUACCGGAUAAUAUUUUGAACCGCAUGGUUCAAAAGUGAAAGACGGUCUUGCUGUCACUUAUAGAUGGAUCCGCGCUGCAUUAGCUAGUUGGUAAGGUAACGGCUUACCAAGGCAACGAUGCAUAGCCGACCUGAGAGGGUGAUCGGCCACACUGGAACUGAGACACGGUCCAGACUCCUACGGGAGGCAGCAGUAGGGAAUCUUCCGCAAUGGGCGAAAGCCUGACGGAGCAACGCCGCGUGAGUGAUGAAGGUCUUCGGAUCGUAAAACUCUGUUAUUAGGGAAGAACAUAUGUGUAAGUAACUGUGCACAUCUUGACGGUACCUAAUCAGAAAGCCACGGCUAACUACGUG
RNAcentral lists this ribosomal RNA (497 nucleotides) under uncultured bacterium. Its description in RNAcentral is "partial 16S ribosomal RNA". It matches the Rfam family "Bacterial small subunit ribosomal RNA", at positions 28 to 507 of the family's 1533-position model. The record is from RNAcentral.